RNAcentral lists this ribosomal RNA (440 nucleotides) under uncultured bacterium. RNAcentral describes it as "partial 16S ribosomal RNA". It matches the Rfam family "Bacterial small subunit ribosomal RNA", at positions 338 to 795 of the family's 1533-position model. The record is from RNAcentral.
CCUACGGGUGGCAGCAGUAGGGAAUCUUUCACAAUGGGCGAAAGCCUGAUGGAGCAACGCCGCGUGCAGGAUGAAGGCCUUCGGGUUGUAAACUGCUUUUAUAAGCGAGAAAUAUGAUGGUAACUUAUGAAUAAGGAUCGGCUAACUCCGUGCCAGCAGCCGCGGUAAUACGGAGGAUUCAAGCGUUAUCCGGAUUUAUUGGGUUUAAAGGGUGCGUAGGCGGUCGGAUAAGUUAGAGGUGAAAUCCCGAGGCUCAACUUCGGAAUUGCCUCUGAUACUGUUCGGCUAGAGAGUAGUUGCGGUAGGCGGAAUGUAUGGUGUAGCGGUGAAAUGCUUAGAGAUCAUACAGAACACCGAUUGCGAAGGCAGCUUACCAAGCUACUUCUGACGUUGAGGCACGAAAGCGUGGGGAGCAAACAGGAUUAGAUACCCUUGUAGUC